This 29-nucleotide non-coding RNA is filed under the name Mus musculus (house mouse). Lineage: Eukaryota; Metazoa; Chordata; Mammalia; Rodentia; Muridae. The record is from RNAcentral.
UNUGAUGCUUUUAUUGGGUAUGAGGUGAG